AAGAGCUGGGUGUUGCAGCCUGACAGCCAUGAAAUGGCGGUGGCGAGGAGCGUUGGCGUUGCCUGGGUGCAUAGGCUGAGGCUUUCUGCCUUCCUCAAGAACUGCAGUUCUCCCAGGGCCUUUCAGCUUGGCUGCCCAAGCGCACAGGACGGGGGUAUCGCUUAUCUGAGAAACCCACAGGGGAAAAAAAACCCUCCUGAUUCAGGAGAGAARCAAGUUUUGAAAUAAGAGCAUUUUCUGCAAGCUUAAAAUUCCGGAGUUUGACUCAGGUAAGUAGAAAUCGAGCACAACAUGGGUGAG
Molecule: long non-coding RNA, 300 nt
Filed under: Dromaius novaehollandiae (emu)
Lineage: Eukaryota; Metazoa; Chordata; Aves; Casuariiformes; Dromaiidae
Description: lncRNA (ENSDNVG00000016929.1)
Source: RNAcentral